UCUGUAUGCGCAAAUGAUCUACACAUUGUUGUGUUGUUAUCAUCUCAUCCUCACCAUUCCCAUGAGCAUUAACGACCUUUGCAAUUGUUGAUGGGCGCAAUCCAGUUUCAUGCAUCUUCUCCGUCAAAUUUUUAACAGUUUGACUACGAUGAUAUGUCUUAUGACAACGAUGUUUCCAUGCUGAUGAAGGGCUAGUAAACUCGUGAUUAUGUUCAUCACAAAAACUAGUAACACGCCAUGUCUU
This 244-nucleotide long non-coding RNA is filed under the name Panax ginseng (ginseng). Its description in RNAcentral is "long non-coding RNA (PGIN_LNC007042)". The record is from RNAcentral. Lineage: Eukaryota; Viridiplantae; Streptophyta; Magnoliopsida; Apiales; Araliaceae.